AUUGUGUUGCCCCCCAUACAUGUAUUCGGGGCGAAGCUUGGCCUCCCGUGAGCCCAAACUCGCGGAUGGCUUAAAAACGAGCCUCGAGACGGUUAGACGUCGCGACAAGUGGUGGUUACGAGGCCUUGUGCCYUCGAGCUUUGCGUGUCGCUGCCGUCGUCUGUCUCUCUCGAAAUUAAAAACCCGAACGGAGCAUCCUCGAUGUUUCCAGCAUUGCGACCCCAGGUCAGGCGGGACUACCCGCUGAGUUUAAGCAUAUCAAUAA
Molecule: unclassified non-coding RNA, 265 nt
Filed under: Rhodiola chrysanthemifolia
Lineage: Eukaryota; Viridiplantae; Streptophyta; Magnoliopsida; Saxifragales; Crassulaceae
Description: partial internal trancribed spacer 2
Source: RNAcentral